Long non-coding RNA from Oncorhynchus keta (chum salmon), 3681 nucleotides. RefSeq lists it as uncharacterized. The transcript is spliced from 4 exons. Lineage: Eukaryota; Metazoa; Chordata; Actinopteri; Salmoniformes; Salmonidae. The record is from RefSeq and is a predicted model, not a curated record.
CAGGAAGCAAUGCAGGCCAAAACCUAGGAAGAAACCUAGAGAGGAACCAGGCUCUGAGGGGUGGCCAGUCCUCUUAUGGCUACGCGGGGUGGAGAUUAUAAACCUAGAGAGGAACCAGGCUCUGAGGGGUGGCCAGUCCUCUUCUGGCUACGCGGGGUGGAGAUUAUAAACCUAGAGAGGAACCAGGCUCUGAGGGGUGGCCAGUCCUCUUCUGGCUACGCCGGGUGGAGAUUAUAAACCUAGAGAGGAACCAGGCUCUGAGGGGUGGCCAGUCCUCUUAUGGCUACGCCGGGUGGAGAUUAUAAACCUAGAGAGGAACCAGGCUCUGAGGGGUGGCCAGUCCUCUUAUGGCUACGCGGGGUGGAGAUUAUAAACCUAGAGAGGAACCAGGCUCUGAGGGGUGGCCAGUCCUCUUAUGGCUACGCGGGGUGGAGAUUAUAAACCUAGAGAGGAACCAGGCUCUGAGGGGUGGCCAGUCCUCUUCUGGCUGUGCCUGGUGGAGAUUAUAACAGAACAUGGCCAAGAUGUUCAACUGUUCAUAAAUGACCAUCAUGGUCAAAUAAUAAUAAUCACAGUGAAUAGUUCAGGGUUCCAUACGCGCAGGCAGAACAGCUGAAACUGGAGCAGCAGCACGGCCAGGUGAACUGGGGACAACAAGGAGUCAUCAUGCCAGGUAGUCCUGAGUCAUGGUCCAAGGGCUCAGGUCCCCAGAGAGAGAGAGAGAGAGAGAGAGGGAGAGAUACUUAAAUUCAAACGGGACACUGGAGAAAUACUCCAGGUAUAACAGACUGACCCAAGCCCCCCGACACAUAAACUACUGCAGGGUGAAUACCGGAGACUGAGACAGGAUGUCGAUAUGUGAACUUCACAAUAAUAUGUCUAAAUCUACCAUUUACUUGAAUGUGUCUACAUCUAUUUACAUUAAUAUGUCUAUAUCUAUUUAUAUUAAUAUGUCUACAUCUAUUUACAUUAAUAUGUCUACAUCUAUUUACAUUAAUAUGUCUAUAUCUAUUUAUAUUAAUGUGUCUACAUCUAUUUAUAUUAAUAUGUCUACAUGUUCAUUCACUUUUACACGUCUACAUCUGCCAUUUAUAUUCAUAUGUCAAAUCAAAUCAAAUGUACUUAUAUAGCCCUUCUUACAUUAGCUGAUAUAUCAAAGUGCUCUACAGAAACCCAGCCUAAAACCCCAAACAGGAAGCAAUGCAGGCCAAAACCUAGGAAGAAACCUAGAGAGGAACCAGGCUCUGAGGGGUGGCCAGUCCUCUUAUGGCUACGCGGGGUGGAGAUUAUAAACCUAGAGAGGAACCAGGCUCUGAGGGGUGGCCAGUCCUCUUCUGGCUACGCGGGGUGGAGAUUAUAAACCUAGAGAGGAACCAGGCUCUGAGGGGUGGCCAGUCCUCUUAUGGCUACGCGGGGUGGAGAUUAUAAACCUAGAGAGGAACCAGGCUCUGAGGGGUGGCCAGUCCUCUUACGGCUACGCGGGGUGGAGAUUAUAAACCUAGAGAGGAACCAGGCUCUGAGGGGUGGCCAGUCCUCUUAUGGCUACGCGGGGUGGAGAUUAUAAACCUAGAGAGGAACCAGGCUCUGAGGGGUGGCCAGUCCUCUUCUGGCUACGCGGGGUGGAGAUUAUAAACCUAGAGAGGAACCAGGCUCUGAGGGGUGGCCAGUCCUCUUAUGGCUACGCGGGGUGGAGAUUAUAAACCUAGAGAGGAACCAGGCUCUGAGGGGUGGCCAGUCCUCUUACGGCUACGCGGGGUGGAGAUUAUAAACCUAGAGAGGAACCAGGCUCUGAGGGGUGGCCAGUCCUCUUAUGGCUACGCGGGGUGGAGAUUAUAAACCUAGAGAGGAACCAGGCUCUGAGGGGUGGCCAGUCCUCUUAUGGCUACGCGGGGUGGAGAUUAUAAACCUAGAGAGGAACCAGGCUCUGAGGGGUGGCCAGUCCUCUUAUGGCUACGCGGGUGGAGAUUAUAAACCUAGAGAGGAACCAGGCUCUGAGGGGUGGCCAGUCCUCUUAUGGCUACGCGGGGUGGAGAUUAUAAACCUAGAGAGGAACCAGGCUCUGAGGGGUGGCCAGUCCUCUUAUGGCUACGCGGGUGGAGAUUAUAAACCUAGAGAGGAACCAGGCUCUGAGGGGUGGCCAGUCCUCUUAUGGCUACGCGGGGUGGAGAUUAUAAACCUAGAGAGGAACCAGGCUCUGAGGGGUGGCCAGUCCUCUUAUGGCUACGCGGGGUGGAGAUUAUAAACCUAGAGAGGAACCAGGCUCUGGGGGGUGGCCAGUCCUCUUAUGGCUACGCGGGGUGGAGAUUAUAAACCUAGAGAGGAACCAGGCUCUGAGGGGUGGCCAGUCCUCUUAUGGCUACGCGGGGUGGAGAUUAUAAACCUAGAGAGGAACCAGGCUCUGAGGGGUGGCCAGUCCUCUUCUGGCUACGCGGGGUGGAGAUUAUAAACCUAGAGAGGAACCAGGCUCUGAGGGGUGGCCAGUCCUCUUCUGGCUACGCCGGGUGGAGAUUAUAAACCUAGAGAGGAACCAGGCUCUGAGGGGUGGCCAGUCCUCUUAUGGCUACGCCGGGUGGAGAUUAUAAACCUAGAGAGGAACCAGGCUCUGAGGGGUGGCCAGUCCUCUUAUGGCUACGCGGGGUGGAGAUUAUAAACCUAGAGAGGAACCAGGCUCUGAGGGGUGGCCAGUCCUCUUAUGGCUACGCGGGGUGGAGAUUAUAAACCUAGAGAGGAACCAGGCUCUGGGGGGUGGCCAGUCCUCUUAUGGCUACGCGGGGUGGAGAUUAUAAACCUAGAGAGGAACCAGGCUCUGAGGGGUGGCCAGUCCUCUUAUGGCUACGCGGGGUGGAGAUUAUAAAUCUAGAGAGGAACCAGGCUCUGAGGGGUGGCCAGUCCUCUUAUGGCUACGCGGGGUGGAGAUUAUAAACCUAGAGAGGAACCAGGCUCUGAGGGGUGGCCAGUCCUCUUAUGGCUACGCGGGGUGGAGAUUAUAAACCUAGAGAGGAACCAGGCUCUGAGGGGUGGCCAGUCCUCUUCUGGCUGUGCCUGGUGGAGAUUAUAACAGAACAUGGCCAAGAUGUUCAACUGUUCAUAAAUGACCAUCAUGGUCAAAUAAUAAUAAUCACAGUGAAUAGUUCAGGGUUCCAUACGCGCAGGCAGAACAGCUGAAACUGGAGCAGCAGCACGGCCAGGUGAACUGGGGACAACAAGGAGUCAUCAUGCCAGGUAGUCCUGAGUCAUGGUCCAAGGGCUCAGGUCCCCAGAGAGAGAGAGAGAGAGAGAGAGAGGGAGAGAUACUUAAAUUCAAACGGGACACUGGAGAAAUACUCCAGGUAUAACAGACUGACCCAAGACCCCCGACACAUAAACUACUGCAGGGUGAAUACCGGAGACUGAGACAGGAUGUCUACAUGUGAACUUCACAAUAAUAUGUCUAAAUCUACCAUUUACUUGAAUGUGUCUACAUCUAUUUACAUUAAUAUGUCUAUAUCUAUUUAUAUUAAUAUGUCUACAUCUAUUUACAUUAAUAUGUCUACAUCUAUUUACAUUAAUAUGUCUAUAUCUAUUUAUAUUAAUGUGUCUACAUCUAUUUACAUUAAUAUGUCUACUUCUAUUUACAUUAAUAUGUCUAAUUCUAUUUACAUUAAUAUGUCUCCACCUUCUAUUUACAUUAACAUGUCUACA